UGGAAGCACCGUAAGGUGUGGAGGUGACCGGUACUAAUAGGCCGAGGGCUUGUCCUCAGUUG
RNAcentral lists this ribosomal RNA (62 nucleotides) under Streptomyces regalis. RNAcentral describes it as "partial 23S ribosomal RNA". The record is from RNAcentral. Lineage: Bacteria; Bacillati; Actinomycetota; Actinomycetes; Kitasatosporales; Streptomycetaceae.